RNAcentral lists this signal recognition particle RNA (99 nucleotides) under Planctomycetota bacterium. Its description in RNAcentral is "Planctomycetes bacterium (sediment metagenome) signal recognition particle sRNA small type". It matches the Rfam family "Bacterial small signal recognition particle RNA". From Rfam's summary of the family: The signal recognition particle (SRP) is a universally conserved ribonucleoprotein involved in the co-translational targeting of proteins to membranes. Archaeal SRP consists of a 7S RNA and homologues of the eukaryotic SRP19 and SRP54 proteins. The record is from RNAcentral. Lineage: Bacteria; Pseudomonadati; Planctomycetota.
AAUGAGGGGUCCCUGCGGUGGAGGCCUGUGAACCUGGUCAGGGGCGAAAGUCAGCAGCCAUAAGCAGUUCCCUUCAGGUGCAGUGGGCCUCUCAUUCGG